GUAACGGUGUCCUUAGACACCACCUUUUGUCUUCAAAAAACUAUUU
Picea glauca (white spruce) is the source of this 46-nucleotide non-coding RNA. The record is from Rfam. Lineage: Eukaryota; Viridiplantae; Streptophyta; Pinopsida; Pinales; Pinaceae.